GAUUUUUAUAAGAAAUGCAUUAUUACAGCUUCUGGUCAACAAGACACUUUAUGAGAAAACCAUAGCAAGUGGCUUUGGCUCAGUUCACUUUCUUCUGGAUGCUUCUGAACAGCAGCAAUACAAGGAAGCCAUAUUGGCUUAUGCAAUCUUGCUUAAAGCAGAGACCGGCCAGG
This is a non-coding RNA of Camellia sinensis, 173 nucleotides long. Lineage: Eukaryota; Viridiplantae; Streptophyta; Magnoliopsida; Ericales; Theaceae. The record is from RefSeq and is a predicted model, not a curated record.